This 304-nucleotide unclassified non-coding RNA is filed under the name plant metagenome. Its description in RNAcentral is "partial contains 5.8S ribosomal RNA, internal transcribed spacer 2, and large subunit ribosomal RNA". The stretch from base 1 to 105 matches the Rfam family "5.8S ribosomal RNA", at positions 50 to 154 of the family's 154-position model. The record is from RNAcentral.
GAAAUGCGAUAAGUAGUGUGAAUUGCAGAAUUCAGUGAAUCAUCGAAUCUUUGAACGCACAUUGCGCCCCUUGGUAUUCCAUGGGGCAUGCCUGUUCGAGCGUCAUUUGUACCUUCAAGCUUUGCUUGGUGUUGGGUGUUUGUCUCGCCUCUGCGUGUAGACUCGCCUCAAAACAAUUGGCAGCCGGCGUAUUGAUUUCGGAGCGCAGUACAUCUCGCGCUUUGCACUCAUAACGACGACGUCCAAAAGUACAUUUUUACACUCUUGACCUCGGAUCAGGUAGAGAUACCCGCUGAACUUAAGC